RNAcentral lists this transfer RNA (133 nucleotides) under Lachnellula suecica. Its description in RNAcentral is "tRNA-Ser". It matches the Rfam family "tRNA". From Rfam's summary of the family: Transfer RNA (tRNA) molecules are approximately 80 nucleotides in length. Their secondary structure includes four short double-helical elements and three loops (D, anti-codon, and T loops). Further hydrogen bonds mediate the characteristic L-shaped molecular structure. tRNAs have two regions of fundamental functional importance: the anti-codon, which is responsible for specific mRNA codon recognition, and the 3' end, to which the tRNAs corresponding amino acid is attached (by aminoacyl-tRNA synthetases). tRNAs cope with the degeneracy of the genetic code in two manners: having more than one tRNA (with a specific anti-codon) for a particular amino acid; and 'wobble' base-pairing, i.e. permitting non-standard base-pairing at the 3rd anti-codon position. The record is from RNAcentral. Lineage: Eukaryota; Fungi; Ascomycota; Leotiomycetes; Helotiales; Lachnaceae.
AUCAGCUUGCCAGAGUGGUUAAUGGGACAGACUUGAAAUCUGUUGUCUUCGGGUAAGAUUUACCCCAUCCACUAUUCCUAUCAAUUUAUUCUAACGUAUCACAGACGCGUAGGUUCAAAUCCUGCAGCUGAUG